CAUUGAUUAAUAUUUUUCUAUUUUAUUUCCACCGCAAUUUGAUAAAUUUAAGAAAAUCUAAAGUAAGAUGCUUAUGUCCAAUAUAUAAAGCUUCUGAGGAAAACAGCGAACCUUGAGAAGCUAAGAGAAGCAAGGGAAGCUAUGAGUGCUAUGUUUCCGUUGAGUCCUUCUUUGUGGCUUGAAUGGGCUAGGGAUGAGGCAUCUUUAGCCUCUAGUGAUAAUGUGCCUGAAAUUGUUAAGCUUUACGAACGAGGACUUUCUGAUUAUCAGUCUGUAUCUCUUUGGUGUGAAUACCUGAACUUCUUG
Brassica oleracea var. oleracea is the source of this 306-nucleotide long non-coding RNA. RefSeq lists it as uncharacterized. The transcript has 4 exons. Lineage: Eukaryota; Viridiplantae; Streptophyta; Magnoliopsida; Brassicales; Brassicaceae. The record is from RefSeq and is a predicted model, not a curated record.